Molecule: long non-coding RNA, 312 nt
Filed under: Brassica rapa (field mustard)
Lineage: Eukaryota; Viridiplantae; Streptophyta; Magnoliopsida; Brassicales; Brassicaceae
Description: long non-coding RNA (BRAP_LNC008856)
Source: RNAcentral
AAGCAUCCAUGGGAAGCACAUUGCAAACAACCUCAUCCUCAUAUCGGCCAAUGGAGAGUGGAACCGUGACUUGCUCCUUCACAUACUGUUCUCGGACUCAUUAGUGCAACUACCUCCAUCAAUAAUUAAAGAACAAACUUUAUCAGAUAUGAGACAUCUAGAGUGAAAGAGAUUCUCCCUUUGUUCUUUGUCAUUGGAUUUUGGUUGGACACUCAAGGCACGCCUAGUAACCAGUAGUGAACCAUGGCUUGGCUCAUCAAAAACAUCCUCAUCAUAGAUCGGAUCAGAACUCUCCACGAAGGUCGAGCAAAA